This 947-nucleotide ribosomal RNA is filed under the name Sphingobacterium sp. Its description in RNAcentral is "bacterial SSU rRNA". It matches the Rfam family "Bacterial small subunit ribosomal RNA", at positions 75 to 1024 of the family's 1533-position model. The record is from RNAcentral. Lineage: Bacteria; Pseudomonadati; Bacteroidota; Sphingobacteriia; Sphingobacteriales; Sphingobacteriaceae.
GCUUGCUUAGGAUGAUGAGAGUGGCGCACGGGUGCGUAACGCGUGAGCAACCUGCCCAUAUCAGGGGUAUAGCCCGAAGAAAUUCGGAUUAACACCGCAUGAGAUUACAGUUCCGCAUGGGACAGUAAUUAAAUAUUUAUAGGAUAUGGAUGGGCUCGCGUGACAUUAGCUAGUUGGUAGGGUAACGGCUUACCAAGGCUACGAUGUCUAGGGGCUCUGAGAGGAGAAUCCCCCACACUGGUACUGAGACACGGACCAGACUCCUACGGGAGGCAGCAGUAAGGAAUAUUGGUCAAUGGAGGGAACUCUGAACCAGCCAUGCCGCGUGCAGGAUGACUGCCCUAUGGGUUGUAAACUGCUUUUGUCAGGGAAUAAACCUUUCUACGUGUAGGAAGCUGAAUGUACCUGAAGAAUAAGGAUCGGCUAACUCCGUGCCAGCAGCCGCGGUAAUACGGAGGAUCCGAGCGUUAUCCGGAUUUAUUGGGUUUAAAGGGUGCGUAGGCGGCUUAUUAAGUCAGGGGUGAAAUACGGCAGCUCAACUGUCGCAGUGCCUUUGAUACUGAUAAGCUUGAAUGUGGUUGAAGAUGGCGGAAUGAGACAAGUAGCGGUGAAAUGCAUAGAUAUGUCUCAGAACUCCGAUUGCGAAGGCAGCUAUCUAAGCCAUUAUUGACGCUGAUGCACGAAAGCGUGGGGAUCAAACAGGAUUAGAUACCCUGGUAGUCCACGCCCUAAACGAUGAUAACUCGAUGUUAGCGAUACACAGUUAGCGUCUUAGCGAAAGCGUUAAGUUAUCCACCUGGGGAGUACGCCCGCAAGGGUGAAACUCAAAGGAAUUGACGGGGGCCCGCACAAUCGGAGGAGCAUGUGGUUUAAUUCGAUGAUACGCGAGGAACCUUACCCGGGCUUGAAAGUUAGUGAAUGAUCCGCAGACGGAUCAAUCCUUCAGG